GGAAGUUUAUCCAAGAUGUUCUGUCACAAAUAGUAAAGAUGAAGAGAUGUCAAGCAUCCACUGAAGACUUUAAUCACUAAAAACACUCUGUAGUCAAUUUUAAUAAAGUAGUCAUGCAUACCUA
Molecule: long non-coding RNA, 124 nt
Organism: Erpetoichthys calabaricus (reedfish)
Lineage: Eukaryota; Metazoa; Chordata; Cladistia; Polypteriformes; Polypteridae
Exons: 2
Source: RefSeq, a predicted model, not a curated record